This 473-nucleotide long non-coding RNA is filed under the name Gossypium raimondii (Peruvian cotton). RNAcentral's name for it is "long non-coding RNA (GRAI_LNC010998)". The record is from RNAcentral. Lineage: Eukaryota; Viridiplantae; Streptophyta; Magnoliopsida; Malvales; Malvaceae.
GUAUGGAAUUAGAAUGUUUACCUGAAGGAAUGCAGUAUCUGAAGUCACUUCGGACACUUGUCCUGAAGCACUGUGAUAGUCUUGUCUCAUUGCCACGGAGCCUGAAAUUCCUAAGCAAGUUAGAACACCUUGAAAUAGUUGGUUGCCUUCGAAUCAAUUUGAAAAUGGAACUAGAAGAGGAAGAAAAAGACCUUCAGUUGAGCCUUAAAACUCUCUCUCUCACUCUUCGUAUUACCUGCCUUAAGAGAUUUGCCACGAUUGCUUCUUCAAGGAUCUUCUUCCACUUUGCAGCAAUUACGAAUUCAGUUUUGUCAAAACUUGUCCGUUCUACCAGCAUGGCUACCGAAUCUCACUUCUCUUCAAAAACUUGAGAUUUUUAAUUGCUUUAAUUUGUGGGAUCUACCGGAGGGAAUAGACCGCCUCACCAACCUUAGAGAAUUGAGAAUUUACGGAUGUCCGGAGUUGAGCAAAAG